This 635-nucleotide small RNA is filed under the name Histoplasma capsulatum var. duboisii H88. RNAcentral describes it as "Histoplasma capsulatum H88 hypothetical RNA". Lineage: Eukaryota; Fungi; Ascomycota; Eurotiomycetes; Onygenales; Ajellomycetaceae. The record is from RNAcentral.
GCUUUUGAUACUCAACAGGAUCACGAAGGCGCCAUCAUGAUGGCUUCCUUGUCCCAGUGCGCCCAUUCCUCUCCAGUCGCUAGGAUAGCCGAUGGCUCCAACGUUUCUUCUGAGAUCUCCACGCUUCGACAACGAAUCGACGUCGAUAUGCUGUUGGGAACUCAGUUGGAACUAAGUUGACUGUAUGCAGGUUGGACGUUGACUUGUGAGUCAAGUAUGAGAGAGUUCAGAACCGAUAGAACUGCAAUCUAUAGCCUACGAUCGUCUUGAAAUCCUGAAGAAGUUGUGCUAUGCGGAUUGGACGAGUCUGCAUCUAACAAAUCUCAAAGCUGUUGGUCAAGCCUAUAGAAAUGGUAGGUUGAAAGUCGUGAAAGGCGCAGUAUCCCACUGGCAUAACGGACAGAUGAAGAUUGGCCCAACUCUGGGGAGUUGCUAAAAUGGAGAACAGAACACGGAGAGGGGGGACAUUGGAUACGUUUCAAUCUGCCAUUUUGGGGCCUGCAAAUAAAUUUGGCAUUGAAAACUAAAAUUCCAGGUCUGCACCGGUUUCCCAACUUGCUUCUCUUUCUGUUUAUAUAGUUUCUAUAUGCGCAAGAGUAAUUUCAAAACCUUACUCUGGCGUACGUUAAAGCACC